RNAcentral lists this ribosomal RNA (497 nucleotides) under uncultured bacterium. RNAcentral describes it as "partial 16S ribosomal RNA". It matches the Rfam family "Bacterial small subunit ribosomal RNA", at positions 28 to 507 of the family's 1533-position model. The record is from RNAcentral.
GACGAACGCUGGCGGCGUGCCUAAUACAUGCAAGUCGAACGAACAGGCGAGGAGCUUGCUCGUCUCACGUGAGCGGCGCGCGGGUGAGUAACGCGUGUAUAACCUCCCUAUAAGAGGGGGAUAACUACGGGAAACGGGAGCUAAUACCGUAUAAUAUCUUGAACCACAUGGUGGAUUGGUGAAAGUCGGCUUUGCUGUAACUUAUAGCUGGAUCCGCGCCGCAUUGGCUAGUUGGGAAGGUAACGGCUUACUAGGGCAACGAUGCGUAGCCGACGUAAGGGAGGGAUCGCCCACACGGGAACGGAGACAGGCACCAGAGUCCUACGGGAGGCACCAGAAGGGAACGUUCGGCAAUGGGGGAAAGCCUGACGGAGCAAGGCGGCGUGAGUGAUGAAGGUCUUGGGUUCGUAAAACCGGGUUUUUGGGGAAAAACAGAUGUGGAAGGAAAUGUGCACGUCGUGACGGUAACUUAUCAGAAAGCAACGGCUAACUACGUG